CUCCAGGAAAAGCUUCAUACCUUAAAAUGUCUCUGGUUUGAAGCACCAUGGCAAGAAUGUGACUCUUUCCUCAGCAGGAAGGUAUCUCUGCCUCUUACAACUCAGUCAGUGUUGUUCUUUGUUUUCGGGGUUCGUUUUAACAGUCUUCAGUUCUCACUCAGAGGUAAUCAUUCCACAGGGGUAAAUUUGUUGUGUCCAUUGGAGAAGGUCAGUUCAGAGUCCUGUGUUACCACCUUCCCAGCAAUCCUCUUGUCAUUGAUUUUUGACUGUUUUGUUAUCACGUGUCUUGGAGAGGGUCCUUUUGUGUUGAGAUAAUUGAGUGUUCUACUUGCACAAUGGAUUUGUAUAUUCAGUUCCUUCCCCAGGUUUGGGAAGUUCUCAGCUACCAUUUCUUUAAAUAAGCUCUCUACUCCCUUCUCUCUCUCUCCUCAUUCUGUGAUAUCCAUUACCCUUAUGUUGUCAUUUCAAAAGGAGUCAGAUAGUUCUUGUAGAAUUUCUACAUUUUAAAAAGUGUUAGCUGUCUCUCCUCUUCUACCUGCCCCAUUUAUAGCUAUCUUCAAGCUCACUAAUUCUCUCUUCCACAUGACAUGCUCUUUUUACAAUGUUUUCCAAUGCAUUCUUCAUCUCAUUCAUCGAGUUCUUCACCUCCAGAAUUUUUGCUUAGUUCUUCUUGAAAGUUUCGAUCUCUUUGGAGAUUGAAGUAUUCCUUCUGUUCAUUGAUUUCAUUCCUGAGGUCAUGAAACCAUCUUUCUGAGUUUUCUUGAAGUUCACUGAGUUUAUUCAUGAUAGCUAUUUUGAAUUUUUUGUCCAUUAGAUCGAAUCUCCCAUGACUUUAUGUUUGGUUUCGGAGGAUUGUUUUCUGUAGCAAAUACAUUUUUUAUUUAGGUACAGUUUUGUUUUGAUUCAAACUUUUCAAUUGCUUAGAGAUUAGAAGCCUUUUUUUGUUUUCAGUAGGUGUCAUUAUAGUAAUUGUUUUUGAUUUCUCUUACCUGAGCUGUGUCUGGCUAUAUUGGGAUCUGCAAGUUCUAUCCUCCAGCUCCUCUAUUUUGUGUCACAUGGAUACUCUCUUUGUUGCUGCCUGCCCUUCUGGGGCCCACUGAUGGCUUUUUAUUGCUUGCAUUUCUGUGGUUGCUGGCUUUGCUCUCAGGACACGGAAAUGGUCAAUGUAAAGCCACAUCUGAGAUCUACUGAGUGGGAAGCUCCAGCACAGCUGUGGGGAUUGGGGUUGGGGAGGUGGGAGAGAGACUGGUACAAGCAACACUGUCUCAGCUGUUGCCUGUUACCCUUUGGUCCCAGGAAACACUGCUGUUGGGAAGUGGGAGUGCUGUGCACACCUGGUGCCACCAGGCUCUGAGCUGAGGACAGGGGUUUGGGAUCAUGGGACUCCACCUUUGUAGCUCCUCUGCUUCCUGUAGCCACAGGUGUCACUGCCC
This 1433-nucleotide long non-coding RNA is filed under the name Equus caballus (horse). RNAcentral describes it as "lncRNA (ENSECAG00000054045.1)". Lineage: Eukaryota; Metazoa; Chordata; Mammalia; Perissodactyla; Equidae. The record is from RNAcentral.